Molecule: transfer RNA, 73 nt
Filed under: Neotoma lepida (desert woodrat)
Lineage: Eukaryota; Metazoa; Chordata; Mammalia; Rodentia; Cricetidae
Rfam family: tRNA
About the family: Transfer RNA (tRNA) molecules are approximately 80 nucleotides in length. Their secondary structure includes four short double-helical elements and three loops (D, anti-codon, and T loops).
Source: Rfam by way of RNAcentral
GGGGNGGUGGCUCAGAGGUUAAGAGCACUGGCUGCUCUUCCAGAGGUCCUGAGUUCAAUUCCCAGCAACCACA